UACGAAGGGGGCUAGCGUUGCUCGGAAUCACUGGGCGUAAAGCGCACGUAGGCGGAUUGCUAAGUCAGGGGUGAAAUCCUGGAGCUCAACUCCAGAACUGCCCUUGAUACUGGCGGUCUCGAGUCCGGGAGAGGUGAGUGGAACUGCGAGUGUAGAGGUGAAAUUCGUAGAUAUCCGCAAGAACACCAGUGGCGAAGGCGGCUCACUGGCCCGGUACUGACGCUGAGGUGCGAAAGCGUGGGGAGCAAACAGG
This 253-nucleotide ribosomal RNA is filed under the name uncultured bacterium. RNAcentral describes it as "partial 16S ribosomal RNA". It matches the Rfam family "Bacterial small subunit ribosomal RNA", at positions 524 to 776 of the family's 1533-position model. The record is from RNAcentral.